ACUGCUUUUGAAACUGCUUAUCUAGAAUAUGGGAGAGGUAGAUGGAAUUUCUGGUGUAGGGGUAAAAUCCGUAGAGAUCAGAAGGAAUACCGAUUGCGAAGGCGAUCUACUGGAACAUUAUUGACGCUGAGACGCGAAAGCGUGGGGAGCAAACAGGAUUAGCUACCCUGGUAGUCCACGCCCUAAACGAUGUACACUAGUUGUUGUGAGGCUCGACCUUGCAGUAAUGCAGUUAACACAUUAAGUGUACCGCCUGGGGAGUACGGUCGCAAGAUUAAAACUCAAAGGAAUAGACGGGGACCCGCACAAGCGGUGGAGCAUGUGGUUUAAUUCGACGAUACACGAAGAACCUUACCUGGACUUGACAUAGUAAGAACUUUCUAGAGAUAGAUUGGUGUCUGCUUGCAGAAACUUAUAUACAGGUGCUGCACGGCUGUCGUCAGCUCGUGUCGUGAGAUGUUGGGUUAAGUCCCGCAACGAGCGCAACCCUCGUCAUUAGUUGCUAACAGUUCGGCUGAGAACUCUAAUGAGACUGCCUACGCAAGUAGGAGGAAGGUGAGGAUGACGUCAAGUCAUCAUGGCCCUUACGUCCAGGGCUACACACGUGCUACAAUGGGGUAUACAAAGAGCAGCAAUACGGUGACGUGGAGCAAAUCUCAAAAAUAUCUCCCAGUUCGGAUUGUAGUCUGCAACUCGACUACAUGAAGUUGGAAUCGCUAGUAAUCGUAGAUCAGCUAUGCUACGGUGAAUACGUUCCCGGGUCUUGUACUCACCGCCCGUCACACCAUGGGAGUUGAACUCAUUCGAAGCGGGGAUGCUAAAAUAGCUACCUUCCACAGUGGAUUCAGCGACUGGGGUGAAGUCGUAACAAGGUAGCCGUA
Molecule: ribosomal RNA, 881 nt
Filed under: uncultured bacterium
Lineage: Bacteria
Description: bacterial SSU rRNA
Rfam family: Bacterial small subunit ribosomal RNA
Source: RNAcentral